RNAcentral lists this ribosomal RNA (302 nucleotides) under Cuneopsis rufescens. RNAcentral describes it as "partial 16S ribosomal RNA". The stretch from base 63 to 302 matches the Rfam family "Bacterial large subunit ribosomal RNA", at positions 2047 to 2519 of the family's 2925-position model. Lineage: Eukaryota; Metazoa; Mollusca; Bivalvia; Unionida; Unionidae. The record is from RNAcentral.
UUGGAGGCCAGUGAAUGGCAAGACUAGGAAUAGCUGUACUUUGUAUACAAAAAGAACUUUUCGUCCAAGUGAAAAGACUUAGAUAACAAAGGAAGACGAAAAGACCCCGCGGAACUUUACCUCUUCUUGUAUUUCUGUUUACAUACUUAAAAAUACAUGAGGUUUGAUUGGGGCAAUCUUGGAACCAAUAAAGCUUCCAAUUUUUAUUAAAAAAUAUUUAAAAUUUAUUAAGGACUAAAAAGUAGUUACCCCGGGGAUAACAGCGUAAUCCAACUUAAGAGUACACAUCGAAAGUUGGGUUU